RNAcentral lists this non-coding RNA (24 nucleotides) under Cricetulus griseus (Chinese hamster). The record is from RNAcentral. Lineage: Eukaryota; Metazoa; Chordata; Mammalia; Rodentia; Cricetidae.
AUCUACAACAUGGAGAUGGCUCGA